CCUACGGGGGGCAGCAGUGAGGAAUAUUGGUCAAUGGACGCAAGUCUGAACCAGCCAUGCCGCGUGAAGGAAGACGGCUCUAUGAGUUGUAAACUGCUUUUGUACGAGGGUAAACGCAGAUACGCGUGUCUUUCUGAAUGUAUCGUACGAAUAAGGAUCGGCUAACUCCGUGCCAGCAGCCGCGGUAAUACGGAGGAUUCAAGCGUUAUCCGGAUUUAUUGGGUUUAAAGGGUGCGUAGGUGGUUGGAUAAGUUAGAUGUGAAAUCCCGGGGCUCAACUUCGGAAUUGCCUUUGAAACUGUCCGUCUAGAGAGUAGUUGAGGUAGGCGGAAUGUAUGGUGUAGCGGUGAAAUGCUUAGAGAUCAUACAGAACACCGAUUGCGAAGGCAGCUUACCAGGCUACAUCUGACGUUGAGGCACGAAAGCGUGGGGAGCAAACAGGAUUAGAUACCCUGGUAGUC
This 460-nucleotide ribosomal RNA is filed under the name uncultured bacterium. RNAcentral describes it as "partial 16S ribosomal RNA". It matches the Rfam family "Bacterial small subunit ribosomal RNA", at positions 338 to 795 of the family's 1533-position model. The record is from RNAcentral.